RNAcentral lists this ribosomal RNA (266 nucleotides) under uncultured bacterium. RNAcentral's name for it is "partial 16S ribosomal RNA". It matches the Rfam family "Bacterial small subunit ribosomal RNA", at positions 793 to 1055 of the family's 1533-position model. The record is from RNAcentral.
GUCCACGCCCUAAACGAUGUCUACUAGUUAUUGGGAGAGUAAAAUCUCUUAGUAACGCAGCUAACGCGUGAAGUAGACCGCCUGGGGAGUACGGUCGCAAGAUUAAAACUCAAAGGAAUUGACGGGGGCCCGCACAAGCGGUGGAUUAUGUGGAUUAAUUCGAUGCAACGCGAAAAACCUUACCUGGCCUUGACAUGUACCGAAUUUGGGAGAGAUUCCUUAGUGCUCGAAAGAGAACGGUAACACAGGUGCUGCAUGGCUGUCGU